GAGGGUAUAGCUCAAAUGGUAGAGCACUUGCCUGGCACGUAUGAGGUCCUGGGUUCAAUCCCCAGUACUUCCU
This 73-nucleotide transfer RNA is filed under the name Camelus bactrianus (Bactrian camel). It matches the Rfam family "tRNA". Rfam says of the family: Transfer RNA (tRNA) molecules are approximately 80 nucleotides in length. Their secondary structure includes four short double-helical elements and three loops (D, anti-codon, and T loops). The record is from Rfam by way of RNAcentral. RNAcentral also lists the same sequence under 2 other names. Lineage: Eukaryota; Metazoa; Chordata; Mammalia; Artiodactyla; Camelidae.